UUAUAUAGCACCCAACAUUUCAAUAAUGUAGAAACAAAAGAAAGUGAAUUGAAAGGAUCAUAGCCUCUUUUAUUAAUAGAAAUACCAAUAUUCUGACAUACAAUUCUGAAAUUAAAUAUCCUUUAAGAAAUUUCAGUCAAAAGCACUCCUAAUAUGCCCAAUGUACUUCAUCGUACCUAUCUACAAAACAAGACAACUAAAGAUAAUAUCUAUUAAUCUUCAAUCAAGGUACACCAUCAUUGUUUGAAUGGAUAUCAUUUUUCAGCAGUGAUUACAAUGCAUCCUGAUGCUUCUAUAAUAUUAUGGUGGACCAUCAGUCCUACAAAAUGUUGAGUAGUUUAUGGAAGUCAGUCCAUGUAAAUAAAUUGCCACAAAGUAUAAUAACAUAUAAAAUCAAUGUAUGAGAACAACUUACUUGUUCAUGUUGGCUUCCACGAGAACUAUCACUUACUAUCUGGCAGACCCAAGACGCUUAAUUUCUGACACUUCCUGCAAACUUUUCUUUGAGCACUUGCCUCGCUUGCUCAGAAGAUUGUAAUUUAGAAACCAAUUCCGUCAUACUUAAUGAUG
This 570-nucleotide long non-coding RNA is filed under the name Triticum aestivum (bread wheat). RNAcentral's name for it is "long non-coding RNA (TAES_LNC017117)". Lineage: Eukaryota; Viridiplantae; Streptophyta; Magnoliopsida; Poales; Poaceae. The record is from RNAcentral.